RNAcentral lists this ribosomal RNA (427 nucleotides) under uncultured bacterium. RNAcentral's name for it is "bacterial SSU rRNA". It matches the Rfam family "Bacterial small subunit ribosomal RNA", at positions 355 to 774 of the family's 1533-position model. The record is from RNAcentral.
UGGGGAAUUUUGGACAAUGGGCGAAAGCCUGAUCCAGCCAUGCCGCGUGAGUGAAGAAGGCCUUCGGGUUGUAAAGCUCUUUUAGUCGGAAAGAAAGAGUUGCAAUGAAUAAUUGUGAUUUAUGACGGUACCGACAGAAAAAGCACCGGCUAACUACGUGCCAGCAGCCGCGGUAAUACGUAGGGUGCGAGCGUUAAUCGGAAUUACUGGGCGUAAAGGGUGCGCAGGCGGUCUUGCAAGUCAGAUGUGAAAGCCCCGGGCUUAACCUGGGAAGUGCGUUUGAAACUACAAGACUAGAGUGCAGCAGAGGGGAGUGGAAUUCCAUGUGUAGCAGUGAAAUGCGUAGAGAUGUGGAAGAACACCGAUGGCGAAGGCAGCUCCCUGGGUUGACACUGACGCUCAUGCACGAAAGCGUGGGGAGCAAACA